This 194-nucleotide ribosomal RNA is filed under the name uncultured bacterium. RNAcentral's name for it is "partial 16S ribosomal RNA". It matches the Rfam family "Bacterial small subunit ribosomal RNA", at positions 1307 to 1500 of the family's 1533-position model. The record is from RNAcentral.
GCAACUCGCCUACAUGAAGUUGGAAUCGCUAGUAAUCGCGAAUCAGAAUGUCGCGGUGAAUACGUUCCCGGGUCUUGUACACACCGCCCGUCACACCACGAGAGUUUACAACACCCGAAGUCAGUGGCCUAACCGCAAGGAGGGAGCUGCCUAAGGUGGGGUAGAUGAUUGGGGUGAAGUCGUAACAAGGUAGC